GCAUAUCAAUAAGCGGAGGAAAAGAAACUAACAAGGAUUCCCCUGGUAACUGCGAGUGAAGCGGGAAAAGCUCAAAUUUAAAAUCUGGUGGUCUUUGGCCAUCCGAGUUGUAAUCUAGAGAAGUGCUAUCCGCGCUGGACCGUGUACAAGUCCCCUGGAAUGGGGCGUCAUAGAGGGUGAGAAUCCCGUCUUUGACACGGACUACCAGGGCUUUGUGAUGCACUCUCAAAGAGUCGAGUUGUUUGGGAAUGCAGCUCAAAAUGGGUGGUAAAUUCCAUCUAAAGCUAAAUAUUGGCGAGAGACCGAUAGCGAACAAGUACCGUGAGGGAAAGAUGAAAAGAACUUUGGAAAGAGAGUUAAACAGUACGUGAAAUUGUUGAAAGGGAAACGCUUGAAGUCAGUCGCGUCAGCCAGGGAUCAACCUUACUUUUGUGAGGCGUACUUCCUGGUUGAUGGGUCAGCAUCAGUUUUGGCUGCUGGAUAAAGGUCAGAGAAAUGUGGCACCUCCGGGUGUGUUAUAGUCUCUGAUCAGAUACAGUGGCUGGGACUGAGGAACUCAGCACGCCGCAAGGCCGGGGUUCGCCCACGUUCGUGCUUAGGAUGCUGGCAAAAUGGCUUUAAUCGACCCGUCUUGAAACACGGACC
This 645-nucleotide ribosomal RNA is filed under the name Pleurotus cystidiosus. RNAcentral's name for it is "eukaryotic LSU rRNA". It matches the Rfam family "Eukaryotic large subunit ribosomal RNA", at positions 38 to 667 of the family's 3401-position model. Lineage: Eukaryota; Fungi; Basidiomycota; Agaricomycetes; Agaricales; Pleurotaceae. The record is from RNAcentral.